GAGGGUAUAGUUCAACUGGUAGAGUCUGUGCUUGUCAUGCACAAGGUCCUGGGUUCAAUCCCCCGUAACUCCU
Molecule: transfer RNA, 73 nt
Filed under: Camelus bactrianus (Bactrian camel)
Lineage: Eukaryota; Metazoa; Chordata; Mammalia; Artiodactyla; Camelidae
Also listed under: 1 other name
Rfam family: tRNA
About the family: Transfer RNA (tRNA) molecules are approximately 80 nucleotides in length. Their secondary structure includes four short double-helical elements and three loops (D, anti-codon, and T loops).
Source: Rfam by way of RNAcentral